AUAUCGUUUGAUAUAAUGAUAUUGGUAUUAUUUAAAACAAACGACGAUAUUUUAGAAGGAUAUGUACGACCACAUGACAAACCUCAAAUACACAUUCGAACGCUUUUGUUUCUUAUGCAGAGGAUGAUCGUCUGUUCGUUUUCAAUGAUUUAAUUGAGGGUCUCGAAAAUGACAAAGGAAAGAAGCUUUGUAUUCAUCACCGCAUUUUAUCCCAGGGUUGUGAUAUUUCUGACCACAUACAAAUGCAAUUUCACGAGAGCGAAAAAUAGUUUGUCUCAUCACAAGAAUUUCUUGAAUCUGAAUGGUG
RNAcentral lists this long non-coding RNA (307 nucleotides) under Mytilus galloprovincialis (Mediterranean mussel). Lineage: Eukaryota; Metazoa; Mollusca; Bivalvia; Mytilida; Mytilidae. The record is from RNAcentral.